This 389-nucleotide ribosomal RNA is filed under the name uncultured bacterium. Its description in RNAcentral is "bacterial SSU rRNA". It matches the Rfam family "Bacterial small subunit ribosomal RNA", at positions 28 to 417 of the family's 1533-position model. The record is from RNAcentral.
GACGAACGCUGGCGGCGUGCUUAACACAUGCAAGUCGAGCGGUAAGGCCCUUUCGGGGGUACACGAGCGGCGAACGGGUGAGUAACACGUGGGUGACCUGCCCUUAGCUCUGGGAUAAGCCUGGGAAACGUGGGUCUAAUACCGGAUAUGACUCCAUGACGCAUGUUGUGGGGUGGAAAGCCUUGUGCGGCUAGGGAUGGGCCCGCGGCCUAUCAGCUUGUUGGUGGGGUGANGGCCUACCAAGGCGACGACGGGUAGCCGGCCUGAGAGGGCGACCGGCCACACUGGGACUGAGACACGGCCCAGACUCCUACGGGAGGCAGCAGUGGGGAAUCUUGCGCAAUGGGCGAAAGCCUGACGCAGCGACGCCGCGUGAGGGAUGACGGCCU